This 2260-nucleotide ribosomal RNA is filed under the name Triticum aestivum (bread wheat). RNAcentral describes it as "partial small subunit ribosomal RNA". The record is from RNAcentral. Lineage: Eukaryota; Viridiplantae; Streptophyta; Magnoliopsida; Poales; Poaceae.
AAAAAAAUUCCACUCCCACCCCACCAAACUCUCUCUCCAACCUCACCCGCCGCUCCUUCUUCCUCCUCUCUCGAUCCCCUCCAACCCAGCCGCCGACACCGCCGACCUCCCCCAAUCCCGGCCGCCACUCCACCACCGGUGACCCCUCCCUGGCCGCAGAUCCACUCGCGGAGCAGCUCACCCCGCGGUCAGAUCUGACCGCCCUCCCUCCCUACCUACCUCCUUGCCGGAAACCCUAGCCGCCCGUCCAUGGCGACCCAUUGCAGCACUCCAAGACCUCCUCCACGGUGGUAUGGUAGGAGGAACGGCGACCAGCGACGGCACGAAGCCCGGCCAUGGUGACCCUCCAAGACCUCGACGACGGUGCUAUGGUGACUGAUGUAGGAUGAACAGCGCCAAGGAACGGGACGACACCGAUGCCAAAGGAAGCUCUGGCAGAGGAGAGCAGCCUCCUUCUCCUCCAUCUCUCUGCUUGCUCGGUUCUGGUUCUAGCCUGAUUUAAAAAAACGUUUUUUGCUUUCUCCCUUUCCGAUUCAGACUUGAGCACGAGCGGAUUCACUAGUUGGAGCUAUAUAUGGUGGUUGUUAUGUUAAUCAAAUCAUUAGGCGUUCCCCAUCCAUACCAUACAAUUGAUUGGUUUACUGCUUGCUUGGUUGUCAAGUGAGGUGUUUGUUUACUCUGCUUGAUUGAUUCCAUUGGAGGAGGGAGUAAUUUGCCUAGCUUAGCUGAACUCUACAUACCAGGCUAGUUCAACUUUGGUUCCAAUUCGUCAUCAAAUUUGCUCCUGUAUAUAUAUAAUGCUUGUGUACUAGGCUAGAAAGUUAGAAUGGUUCAUGAUUGGAUAAAAGAAAAGUAGAUCUGUUUGAUGCUUUUGUAGUCCUCGUCGCAGGCUGGGGUGGUCGUGUAUCGCCAACUCCGUAUAGUUGUUUGGCCUCUGUUUCAGGCUUGAAUGGGGGCAGUACAACCCACCCUGCCCCGCUAAUCGCUUGGAAAUGGACGCAACAUCUGCUAUUCUGUGCGAGGUUGCCAGGCUUAGGUCGAUUUUUGUAUGUACAAUUGACAAGCAAAGGUGCUAGUACUUGUUUACUACAACAACACAAUUAAUUAACCAACAUACAUGCAUACUUGGCUUGAGAAAAUAUGGAUGCGUGUGGAAACAUGCGGAAGAGAAACUAAAUGUAGCCAUUAGCUAUGUUGCUAGGUGCCAAACAGAAGAAAUGACUAUUUUAGAUGUUUGGAGCUGGGGUAUCUUACUUAGCACCAUGUGUAAUUGUUUUACAGCACUGACUUAAUCAUGUUUGCUGCUACUGCUACGACAUAUGGAGAAUAAUUUAGGCACCAUAAGCGUAAUAUCAUUAUAAACUUCUGAGAUGCGUGAUCUUUAGUACUGUAGUACUUGCUCGUAUCAGAUCAUCAAAUGCGCGAUCUUUUGUUCAAAGACGGUUCUCAUCGCAGGAAUCAAUGGGUGCUGGUUGUUGUUAUAGUACUAGUCUUAAUGCUGCAAGGGGAACUAUUUUUACAUUCUAUCACAGUAAUCACACACUAGUACAUAGGGAUCUAUUAGCUUAGCAAAACUGGCAUUUUGGAUGAGUAUUAAACAACAAAAUGUCCCUUCAUCUGUCGCUGCUUACUUGUCUAAGCCUUACAAUAUUAUUCCAUCUAAUUGUUGUGUGUUAUUAUCUUGAAUACAUUUCUCUUUUAAUUUAUUUUCAAUCUUCCAAGCCUGGACAUAGUUAUUGUAUCUCAUUAUCAUCUUGAAAAUGUCACCACAACUUGUUUUAUUCUCUAUGCACCGUGUUUGCUGGAGACUAACAUUCUCUUAUUUGACCAUGUAGUGAUUACCUCUUCAAGCUAUUGCUUAUUGGAGACUCAGGUGUUGGCAGGUCAUGUCUUCUGUUAAGAUUUGCAGGUGAUCGACGAGGUCUACUGUGGCCCGAUGGGAGUCGUGCUCUUCAACUACUCGGAGGCAGACUUCACCGUGAAGCCCCGCGACCGUGUCAUAGAGAUUAUCGUCCAGGUGAUUGUGACGCAGGAGGUCCCCGGGGUGGAGGACCUCGACGCCACCGUCCGGAGGUCACCGAGGUGUUGGACGACACCACCGUCCGGAGUUCCUCAAGGUGGAGGACCUCGAUUCUUUGUACGUACAUCUAGAGAAGUGGUCUGGUUAGGUUGGUGGUGAAAUGCUAGGGAAGGUACCAACCUUUUGAUGAUGGUUGUGUGUGUCCUCGUGAUCUCUUCGAAUUGAGAUGUUGAAUGUUGC